CGUAACAAGGUCUCCGUUGGUGAACCAGCGGAGGGAUCAUUAAAGAGUUUUAUAACUCCCAAACCCAUGUGAACAUACCGUACGUUGCCUCGGCAGGCCGCCUACCCUGUAGUGCCCUGCCGGCGGCCCAUUUAACGCUGUUUAUUAUUGAAUUCUGAGGUUAUUAUAAAUAAGUUAAAACUUUCAACAACGGAUCUCUUGGUUCUGGCAUCGAUGAAGAACGCAGCGAAAUGCGAUAAGUAAUGUGAAUUGCAGAAUUUAGUGAAUCAUCGAAUCUUUGAACGCACAUUGCGCCCAUUAGUAUUCUAGUGGGCAUGCCUGUUCGAGCGUCAUUUCAACCCUUAAGCCCCUGUUGCUUAGUGUUGGGAGCCUACGGCAGCGUAGCUCCUCAAAAUUAGUGGCGGAGUCGGUUCACACUCUAGACGUAGUAAAUUCUAUCUCGCCUGUGAGUUGGACCGGUCCCUUGCCGUAAAACCCCCCCUAUUUUAAAGGUUGACCUCGGAUCAGGUAGGAAUACCCGCUGAACUUAAGCAUAUCAAUAA
This 542-nucleotide ribosomal RNA is filed under the name Xylaria moelleroclavus. RNAcentral's name for it is "eukaryotic LSU rRNA". The stretch from base 179 to 332 matches the Rfam family "5.8S ribosomal RNA". The record is from RNAcentral. Lineage: Eukaryota; Fungi; Ascomycota; Sordariomycetes; Xylariales; Xylariaceae.